RNAcentral lists this ribosomal RNA (654 nucleotides) under Salmonella enterica. RNAcentral's name for it is "partial 23S ribosomal RNA". It matches the Rfam family "Bacterial large subunit ribosomal RNA", at positions 1 to 688 of the family's 2925-position model. The record is from RNAcentral. RNAcentral also lists the same sequence under 3 other names. Lineage: Bacteria; Pseudomonadati; Pseudomonadota; Gammaproteobacteria; Enterobacterales; Enterobacteriaceae.
GGGUUGUGAGGUUAAGCGACUAAGCGUACACGGUGGAUGCCCUGGCAGUCAGAGGCGAUGAAGGGCGUGCUAAUCUGCGAUAAGCGCCGGUAAGGUGAUAUGAACCGUUAUAACCGGCGAUACCCGAAUGGGGAAACCCAGUGUGACUCGUCACACUAUCAUUAACUGAAUCCAUAGGUUAAUGAGGCGAACCGGGGGAACUGAAACAUCUAAGUACCCCGAGGAAAAGAAAUCAACCGAGAUUCCCCCAGUAGCGGCGAGCGAACGGGGAGGAGCCCAGAGCCUGAAUCAGCAUGUGUGUUAGUGGAAGCGUCUGGAAAGGCGCGCGAUACAGGGUGACAGCCCCGUACACAAAAGCGCAUGUGCUGUGAGCUCGAUGAGUAGGGCGGGACACGUGGUAUCCUGUCUGAAUAUGGGGGGACCAUCCUCCAAGGCUAAAUACUCCUGACUGACCGAUAGUGAACCAGUACCGUGAGGGAAAGGCGAAAAGAACCCCGGCGAGGGGAGUGAAAAAGAACCUGAAACCGUGUACGUACAAGCAGUGGGAGCACCCUUUGGGGUGUGACUGCGUACCUUUUGUAUAAUGGGUCAGCGACUUAUAUUCUGUAGCAAGGUUAACCGUAUAGGGGAGCCGGAGGGAAACCGAGUCUUAAC